GCUGAUCCCCCAUCCCCCUGUGGAGAUGAAGGGGUAUGCUGAUCCCCAGUCCCCCUGUGGGGAUGAAGGUGUGUGCUGAUCUCUCAUCCCCCUGUGGAGAUGGAGGUGUGUGCUGAUCCCCCGUCCUCCUGUGGAGAUGAAGGCGUGUGCUGAUCCCCAGUCCCCCUGUGGGGAUGAAGGUGUGUGCUGAUCUCUCAUCCCCCUGUGGAGAUGGAGGUGUGUGCUGAUCCCCAUCCCCCUGUGGGGAUGAAGGUGUGUGCUGAUCCCCCGUCCUCCUGUGGAGAUGAAGGCGUGUGCUGAUCCCCAGUCCCCCUGUGGGGAUGAAGGUGUGUGCUGAUCUCUCAUCCCCCUGUGGAGAUGGAGGUGUGUGCUGAUCCCCAUCCCCCUGUGGGGAUGAAGGUGUGUGCUGAUUCCCCGUCCUCCUGUGGAGAUGAAGGCGUGUGCUGAUCCCCCAUCCCCCUGUGGAGAUGAAGGUGUGUGCUGAUCCGCCAUCCCACUGUGGAGAUGAAGGCGUGCACCGAUCCCCAUCCCCCUGUGGAGAUGGAGGCGUGUGCCGAUCCCCCAUCCCCCUGUGGAGAUGAAGGCGUGUGCCGAUCCCCCAUCCCCCUGUGGAGAUGAAGGCGUGUGCUGAUCCCCCAUCCCCCUGUGGAGAUGAAGGGGUGUGCUGAUCCCCCAUCCCCCUGUGGAGAUGAAGGUGUGUGCUGAUCCCCCAUCCCCCUGUGGAGAUGAAGGUGUGUGCUGAUCCGCCAUCCCCCUGUGGAGAUGAAGGCGUGCGCUGAUCCCCAUCCCCCUGUGGAGAUGGAGGCGUGUGCCGAUCCCCCAUCCCCCUGUGGGGAUGAAGGCGUGUGCCGAUCCCCCAUCCCCCUGUGGAGAUGAAGGCGUGUGCUGAUCCCCCAUCCCCCUGUGGGGAUGAAGGCGUGUGCUGAUCCCCCAUCCCCCUGUGGAGAUGAAGGUGUGUGCUGGUCCCCCAUCCCCCUGUGGAGAUGAAGGUGUGUGCUGAUCCCCCAUCCCCCUGUGGAGAUGAAGGUGUGUGCUGAUCCCCCGUCCUCCUGUGGAGAUGAAGGCGUGUGCUGGUCCCCCAUCCCCCUGUGGAGAUGAAGGCGUGUGCUGAUCCCCCAUCACCCUGUGGAGAUGAAGGCGUGUGCUGAUCCCCCAUCACCCUGUGGAGAUGAAGGUGUGUGCUGGUCCCCCAUCCCCCUGUGGAGAUGAAGGUGUGUGCUGGUUACUAAUCCACAUGGGCAAGAACAGGAUGUCCGUCAUUACCCUGAAUCAAUGCUAACACAGUGCCACUUGAGUUCACAUUAAGUUAGAAAUUGAGAAUCUAAAGGUACCUUUAUUUUAACUAAAAAAUAAUUUAUAUACUGUAUAUUGAUUGUGAUACAAUUUACAAAGUCUGAGGUGUGGAACAGAGUUAUUUAAGCAUUAGUCAACCCUGGUCCUUAAGACAGUUCUAGUAAAAUGGGAUUGUAUAUAUUUGUUCAACUAUUUUGACCAAAAAGUUCAAUAAAUUUUAAAUGUUUG
This 1521-nucleotide long non-coding RNA is filed under the name Pan troglodytes (chimpanzee). RNAcentral describes it as "long non-coding RNA NONPTRT001956". Lineage: Eukaryota; Metazoa; Chordata; Mammalia; Primates; Hominidae. The record is from RNAcentral.